Ictidomys tridecemlineatus (thirteen-lined ground squirrel) is the source of this 72-nucleotide non-coding RNA. Lineage: Eukaryota; Metazoa; Chordata; Mammalia; Rodentia; Sciuridae. The record is from Rfam.
GGGGGUGUGGCUCAAAGGUAGAGCGCUCACUUAGUACGUGUGAGGCCCUGGAUUUGAUCCUCAGCACCACAU